GACGAACGCUGGCGGCGUGCUUAACACAUGCAAGUCGAACGGAAAGGCCCUGCUUUUGUGGGGUGCUCGAGUGGCGAACGGGUGAGUAACACGUGAGUAACCUGCCCUUGACUUUGGGAUAACUUCAGGAAACUGGGGCUAAUACCGGAUAGGAGCUCCUGCUGCAUGGUGGGGGGUGGAAAGUUUCGGCGGUUGGGGAUGGACUCGCGGCUUAUCAGCUUGUUGGUGGGGUAGUGGCUUACCAAGGCUUUGACGGGUAGCCGGCCUGAGAGGGUGACCGGCCACAUUGGGACUGAGAGACGGCCCAGACUCCUACGGGAGGCAGCAGUGGGGAAUAUUGCACAAUGGGCGGAAGCCUGAUGCAGCAACGCCGCGUGCGGGAUGACGGCCUUCGGGUGGUAAACCGCUUUCGCCUGUGACGAAGCGUGAGUGACGGUAAUGGGUAAAGAAGCACCGGCUAACUACGUG
This 468-nucleotide ribosomal RNA is filed under the name uncultured bacterium. RNAcentral describes it as "partial 16S ribosomal RNA". It matches the Rfam family "Bacterial small subunit ribosomal RNA", at positions 28 to 507 of the family's 1533-position model. The record is from RNAcentral.